RNAcentral lists this long non-coding RNA (41418 nucleotides) under Sorghum bicolor (sorghum). RNAcentral describes it as "long non-coding RNA (SBIC_LNC002871)". Lineage: Eukaryota; Viridiplantae; Streptophyta; Magnoliopsida; Poales; Poaceae. The record is from RNAcentral.
ACGGCGUCAUAUGGACUCCAACUGGGACAUUCCUAUACUUGAUGGAAAGCUCAUGAAGUCUACUUUCCAAUGGGUCCAACCACAUAUCUAUGCAGCUUAUGAGUCGGGCGCAGUCCUUGUUUUUGUGCCACACCUUUUUCUGUUUUGGUGCUGCGUCACCCUAUUUUGGACCAAUGGCCCAUGUAUCAAGUUGAGUCCAUUAGGGACGCGUCCUAGGGUUGGAGGACGACUCUAGCACCCCUUUGGUCGUCCUCCCCUCUAUUUAUUUACAUCUAGAGCCGCCAUGAACAACUGGGUUUUGAUUAGAUAAAGUUUAGCCUUCGCUACUUGCUUGUAAAUGCGCGUGCUGAUCCAGCCGCCCGUCUUCUUGUUUUCGAAACCCCACUUCAUUAGAGAUUGAGUUUGAAACCUUCAUUUACAUCUAGUAAUUUAGUACUUGUUCUACUUGUUCUUGCUGGUUCUUCGAUUGCUUGCAGGACGAGUGCCCUAGUGGCCGGGUGUUGCGCUCCACAAGAUCGUGACAGCCAUUGGAGGCGGUGUAUCGGUUGCUAAGGCGCGGCCUUAGAAGGCUGUAGUCGGGCCGUGAACGUCAUCUCCAUUUACUAAUCGAGUUAUCCAGCGCCUCUCAUCGAAAGAUCAGGCGAAAACCCUAGUGGGUUCACAUCAGUUGGUAAUCAGAGCAAGGUUUAUCGGUGAGAGAUUUCCAAUUCUUCGUGUUUGUUUUUCCUAUAGUCCAAAAAAAGAAAAAAAAAUAUAGCAGAUUUGUUUUCCAUAAUCCUAUAAAUCCUUUGUGCCGUGGCUAGUACUACUUAGUUAGGGCUGGUUGAAUGAGUGUUUGCUUCGGUCGUGUCCAGUGCUGGUUUUAGUUUAGUCCUUUAGAGUUUUGAGUUCUUGUCACCAUCUAGUCACAACUGCAUCCAAUCUAUUGUGGGUUGGAAUUUGAGUAGAUCUUGAUAAUAGGUGCAGCCACUUGUUGGUCUAUUCUGCGUUUCCAUCAACGUGAUCCAAAAGGAAAGAUAGCACUUCAUACUUGUGCUAGAUAUAUUGAAUUUUGAGGUUCAGCCUUACUCUAGUGAGAGGGUGAGAGUGGUGAAGUGAUAUUUUGUACUAUUUUGUUUAUAUAAUCAGGUUUUGAGGUUCCCCAAAAAAAAGAAAAGAGAAAGAAAAAAAAAUAAAAAAAAGAAAGAAAGAAAGAAAAAAUAUCAAAAAAAGGGGAUUGUUGUUCCUUUUUGUUUCCAGUAGGGCUGCUCAUUUUAUUUCUAGUGGUGUGCUGUGUUUUUCCUUUGUGUCCAGGCUCGCGUCUCUAGCACGGUCUAGGCUAGGACCAGCACAGUACCACGGUUGAGCGUUUAUUCAACUUGCUUUUUAUAACUAACGUGGUGCUAGUUCGAUCCUUGUUUCAGCCCACCUAUAGCUCCACAUAUUCUACAGCUUGAUAGGUUUUGUUGCUGCGGCACCGAUACACUUCGUCCAUUGCUGUGGAUUUGUUGGUAGCCAAUCCCUCCUGUUGAGCAAGGUAAGAAUUGGUAAGAACUUGUUAGACAGGUUGAUAGAGAGCGUCUUACAGUAGCCACAUCCUAAUAGCUGUAGGGUUUUAAUUUCUUCACCUAUUUUUCUUGUUUCCACUGUGUGUUUUUUUAAACCAUGUCAGAGACAGAGGAUACCAACAAAAUUCCACAGUCACCUCGCACUAAGGGCAUCAUACAACAUUUUGAAAGGCAAGUGAAGCUACACACAGAGGGACUUGAUGACGACUUGAAGGUGACGAAUGACAAGCUUGGGCAGUUGGAGGACACGCAGAUUGCCACAAACAACAAGAUUACAAAGAUGGAGGCAUCUAUUACUAGUAUGGAUAAAAGUCUUGCUGCUCUUCUCAAACGCUUUGAUGACUUCCACACAAUGGACAAAGAGAAGCAUAAGGAAGAAAACAAGGAGGAAGACCGAGUGGAUGGCAAUUAUGAUGAUGAUUACACUGCUGAUACGGAACGAGAUGAUCAAGACACUCAUCAUCGACGUCGCCUACGUCACACCCAUAGAGGUAUGGGUGGCCACCACCGACGCGAGGUACACAAUAAUAAUGAUGCUUUCAGUAAGAUUAAAUUUAAAAUACCUCCUUUUGAUGGUAAAUAUGACCCUGAUGCAUACAUUACUUGGGAGAUUGCUGUUGACCAAAAGUUUACAUGUCAUGAAUUCCCUGAGGAUACACGUGUUAGGGCUGCUACUAGUGAGUUCACCGAUUUUGCUUCCGUUUGGUGGAUAGAACAUGGCAAGAAAAAUCCUAAUAACAUACCUAGAACUUGGAAUGCGUUGAAACAAGUCAUGAGGGCUAGAUUUGUUCCUUCUUACUAUGCACGUGACAUGAUUAAUAAGUUGCAGCAAUUGAGACAAGGUGCUAAAAGUGUAGAAGAAUAUUAUCAGGAAUUACAAAUGGGUAUGCUGCGAUGUAAUUUAGAGGAGGAAGAAGAACCUGCUAUGGCUAGAUUUUUGGGCGGGUUAAAUCGUGAAAUCUAGGACAUUCUUGCUUAUAAAGAUUAUACUAACGUAACCCGUUUGUUUCAUCUUGCUUCUAAAGCUGAAAGGGAAGUGCAGGGACGACGUUCUAGUGCCAAAUCUAACAAUUCUGCAGGGAAAUCCUGGCAACAACGCACAUCUGCUACAUUGUCGGGUGGUCUACCUCUUCCAUCAAGCCGAUCAAUAGCUCCACCACCUUCCUACAGCGACAAACCACAUGAUUCUUCCACAAAUACAGCAACUAAAUCAGCCCAGAGACCAAUCGCUAGUGCCUCCUCGGUUAAUUCCACAGGAAGAACAAGAGAUGUUCAGUGUCAUCGAUGCAAGGGCUAUGGGCACGUACAGCGAGAUUGUCCAAACAAGCGUGUUUUGGUGGUUAACGCUGAUGGUGGGUAUUCCUCUGCUAGUGAUUUUGAUGACGAUACACGUGCUUUGCUUGCUGCUGAUGAUACAGGUAGGGAUGAAGCAAUAGAAGAGCAGAUAGGUACAGAGAAUGUAGAGCAUUAUGAGAGUCUUAUUGUGCAGCGUGUGCUUAGUGCUCAAGCGGAGAAGGUAGAGCAGAAUCAGCGGCAUACAUUGUUCCAAACAAAGUAUGUUAUUAAAGAGCGUUCUUGUCGUUUGAUUAUUGAUGGAGGUAGCUGCAACAACUUGGCUAGCAGCAACAUGAUGGAGAAGCUUGCACUUACCACCAAACCACAUCCAUAUCACAUUCGGUGGCUGAACAACAGUGGUAAGGCCAAGGUAACAAAACUAGUGCGAAUUAAUUUUACUAUUGGUUCAUACCAUGAUGUUGUUGAAUGUGAUGUUGUACCUAUGGAAGCUUGUAAUAUUCUGCUAGGUAGACCAUGGCAAUUUGAUAAGGAAUGUAUACAUCAUGGUAGAUCAAAUCAGUAUUCGUUUAUGCACCAUGAUAUGAAAAUUGUUUUGCUACCUAUGUCUCCCGAAGCUAUCGUACGUGAUGAAGUUGCUAAAAUUACCAAGCCUAAAAUUAAGAACAAUGCAGAUACCAAUGGAAAUAACAAAGAUGAGAUAAGAUUAAAUGGACAUUGCAUGCUUGCUACUAAAUUUGAAGUUAAUGAACUAAUUGCUUCCACAUCUAUUGCUUAUGCUUUGGUAUGUAAGGGUGUUUUGAUUUCAAUUGAAGAUAUGCUGCAUUCUUUGCCCCCUGCUGUUCAUAACAUUUUGCAGGAGUAUGCUGAUGUUUUUCCAAGUGAGAUACCGGCAGGGCUGCCACCUAUACGUGGGAUUGAGCACCAAAUUGAUCUUAUUCCUGGUGCAUCUUUGCCAAACCGCGCGCCAUACAGGACAAAUCCAGAGGAAACAAAAGAGAUCCAGCGGCAAGUGCAAGAACUCCUCGACAAAGGUUAUGGAAUUGAGGUUGAUCAAGCCAAGGUAGAAGCUAUACAGGGAUGGCCUGUACCAAAGACAAUCACCCAGGUGCGGAGUUUCUUAGGACUUGCUGGGUUUUAUCGCCGUUUUGUGAAGGAUUUCAGCACCAUUGCUGCACCAUUGAAUGAGCUUACAAAGAAGGGAGUGCCUUUUGUGUGGAGCAAAGUACAAGAGAAUUCCUUCAACAUGUUAAAAGAUAAGUUAACACAUGCACCUCUCCUACAGCUUCCUGAUUUUAAUAAGACUUUUGAGCUUGAGUGUGAUGCUAGUGGGAUUGGUUUGGGAGGUGUUUUGCUACAAGAGGGUAAACCUGUUGCAUAUUUUAGUGAGAAAUUGAGUGGGCCUGUUCUGAACUAUUCAACUUAUGAUAAAGAAUUGUAUGCUCUUGUCCGAACUUUAGAAACAUGGCAACAUUAUUUGUGGCCCAAAGAGUUUGUUAUUCAUUCUGAUCAUGAAUCUUUAAAACAUAUUCGUAGUCAAGGAAAACUAAAUCGCAGACAUGCUAAGUGGGUAGAAUUUAUUGAAUCCUUUCCUUAUGUUAUUAAGCACAAGAAAGGGAAGGAGAAUAUCAUUGCUGAUGCUUUGUCAAGGAGAUAUACUUUGCUAAAUCAACUUGAUUACAAGAUUUUUGGAUUAGAAACGAUCAAAGACCAAUAUGUUCAUGAUGCUGAUUUUAAUGAAGUGUUGCUGCGUUGUAAAGAUGGAAAAGGAUGGAACAAAUUCAUCGUUAGUGAUGGGUUUGUGUUUAGAGCUAACAAGCUAUGCAUUCCAGCUAGCUCUGUUCGUUUGUUGUUGUUACAGGAAGCUCAUGGAGGAGGUUUGAUGGGACAUUUUGGAGCAAAGAAGACGGAGGACAUACUUGCUGAUUUGAAACCAUAUUUGGGUGAGGAACAUGAGCUUGAGUCGAGGACGACUCAAAUCCAAGAAAGGGAGGAUGAUGAGGACAUCAACACCAUCAAUAUAUCCGCACCUACACCAGUUGGUCCUCUUACUCAUGCUCGUGCCCGUCAACUCAACCUUCAAGUAAGUUCAGUUUUAAACUCUUGUCAAUCAUAUUUAGACAAUGGAGACACGUGCACUUUCGUGUUGCUCAGGAAUAAUGGACAAGAUCAGCAAGGGAAGGUUCAACUGCAUUCGGAAUUUGAGGCAACACCAACUUCAAGGGCUGAUUGCAUAUGGGAAGAGUGAUAACUUAACAAAGGUGUUUGGAGAUCAGGUCCAAGCCUCCACAACAUCCUCUAUCAAGUUACCACGUUGCUUCUAAAGCAAGGAAACAAAGAGUCCAAACCCAACACGUUUUGUGAGUUGGAUUCGGACUGGAAAAUAACUCUAACUUGUAUGGAUCACCACGGCGUCAUAUGGACUCCAACUGGGACAUUCCUAUACUUGUUGAAAAGCUCAUGAAGUCUACUUUCCAAUGGGUCCAACCACAUAUCUAUGCAGCUUAUGAGUCGGGCGCAGUCCUUGUUUUUGUGCCACACCUUUUUCUGUUUUGGUGCUGCGUCACCCUAUUUUGGACCAAUGGCCCAUGUAUCAAGUUGAGUCCAUUAGGGACGCGUCCUAGGGUUGGAGGACGACUCUAGUACCCCUUUUGUCGUCCUCCCCUCUAUUUAUUUACAUCUAGAGCCGCCAUGAACAACUGGGUUUUGAUUAGAUAAAGUUUAGCCUUCGCUACUUGCUUGUAAACGCGCGUGCUGAUCCAGCCGCCCGUCUUCUUGUUUUCGAAACCCCACUUCAUUAGAGAUUGAGUUUGAAACCUUCAUUUACAUCUAGUAAUUUAGUACUUGUUCUACUUGUUCUUGCUGGUUCUUCGAUUGCUUGCAGGACGAGUGCCCUAGUGGCCGGGUGUUGCGCUCCACAAGAUCGUGACAGCCAUUGGAGGCGGUGUAUCGGUUGCUAAGGCACGGCCUUAGAAGGCUGUAGUCGGGCCGUGAACGUCAUCUCCAUUCACUAAUCGAGUUAUCCAGCACCUCUCAUCGAAAGAUCAGGCGAAAACCCUAGUGGGUUCACAUCAGUUGGUAAUCAGAGCAAGGUUUAUCGGUGAGAGAUUUCCAAUUCUUCGUGUUUGUUUUUCCUAUAGUCCAAAAAAAGAAAAAAAAUAUAGCAGAUUUGUUUUCCAUAAUCCUAUAAAAUCCUUUGUGCCGUGGCUAGUACUACUUAGUUAGGGCUGGUUGAAUGAGUGUUUGCUUCGGUCGUGUCCAGUGCUGGUUUUAGUUUAGUCCUUUAGAGUUUUGAGUUCUUGUCACCAUCUAGUCACAACUGCAUCCAAUCUAUUGUGGGUUCGAAUUUGAGUAGAUCUUGAUAAUAGGUGCAGCCACUUGUUGGUCUAUUCUGCGUUUCCAUCAACAUGAUCCAAAGGGAAAGAUAGCACUUCAUACUUGUGCUAGAUAUAUUGAAUUUUGAGGUUCAGCCUUACUUUAGUGAGAGGGUGAGAGUGGUGAAGUGAUAUUUUGUACUAUUUUGUUUAUAUAAUCAGGUUUUGAGGUUCCCAAAAAAAAACAAAAGAGAAAGAAAAAAAAAUAAAAAAAAAGAAAGAAAGAAAGAAAAAAAAUAAAAAAGGGGAUUGUUGUUCCUUUUGUUUCCAGUAGGGCUGCUCAUUUUGUUUCUAGUGGUGUGCUGUGUUUUCCCUUUGUGUCCAGGCUCGCGUCUCUAGCACGGUCUAGGCUAGGACCAGCACAGUACCACCGCUGAGCGUUUAUUCAACUUGCUUUUUAUAACUAACGUGGUGCUAGUUCGAUCCUUGUUUCAGCCCACCUAUAGCUCCACAUAUUCUACAGCUUGAUAGGUUUUGUUGCUGCGGCACCGAUACACUUCGUCCAUUGCUGUGGAUUUGUUGGUAGCCAAUCCCUCCUGUUGAGCAAGGUAAGAAUUGGUAAGAACUUGUUAGACAGGUUGAUAGAGAGCGUCUUACAGUAGCCACAUCCUAAUAGCUGUAGGGUUUUUAUUUCUUCACCUAUUUUUCUUGUUUUCACUGUGUGUUUUUUAAACCAUGUCAGAGACAGAGGAUACCAACAAAAUUCUACAGUCACCUCGCACUAAGGGCAUCAUACAACAUUUUGAAAGGCAAGUGAAGCUACACACAGAGGGACUUGAUGACGACUUGAAGGUGACGAAUGACAAGCUUGGGCAGUUGGAGGACACGCAGAUUGCCACAAACAACAAGAUUACAAAGAUGGAGGCAUCUAUUACUAGUAUGGAUAAAAGUCUUGCUGCUCUUCUCAAACGCUUUGAUGACUUCCACACAAUGGACAAAGAGAAGCAUAAGGAAGAAAACAAGGAGGAAGACCGAGUGGAUGGCAAUUAUGAUGAUGAUUACACUGCUGAUACGGAACGAGAUGAUCAAGACACUCAUCAUCGACGUCGCCUACGUCACACCCGUAGAGGUAUGGGUGGCCACCACCGACGCGAGGUACACAAUAAUAAUGAUGCUUUCAGUAAGAUUAAAUUUAAAAUACCUCCUUUUGAUGGUAAAUAUGACCCUGAUGCAUACAUUACUUGGGAGAUUGCUGUUGACCAAAAGUUUACAUGUCAUGAAUUCCCUGAGGAUACACGUGUUAGGGCUGCUACUAGUGAGUUCACCGAUUUUGCUUCCGUUUGGUGGAUAGAACAUGGCAAGAAAAAUCCUAAUAACAUACCUAGAACUUGGAAUGCGUUGAAACAAGUCAUGAGGGCUACAUUUGUUCCUUCUUACUAUGCACGUGACAUGAUUAAUAAGUUGCAGCAAUUGAGACAAGGUGCUAAAAGUGUAGAAGAAUAUUAUCAGGAAUUACAAAUGGGUAUGCUGCGAUGUAAUUUAGAGGAGGAAGAAGAACCUGCUAUGGCUAGAUUUUUGGGCGGGUUAAAUCGUGAAAUCCAGGACAUUCUUGCUUAUAAAGAUUAUACUAACGUAACCCGUUUGUUUCAUCUUGCUUCUAAAGCUGAAAGGGAAGUGCAGGGACGACGUUCUAGUGCCAAAUCUAACAAUUCUGCAGGGAAAACCUGGCAACAAGGAGUUCUAUCGGGUGUGUCCAAAUCAAUUUCUAAGCAAAUGGUACGUUCCAUGCAGACCGUGCAUCUAUCUUGCAUCAAGAUUAGCACUAUCUCCAAAUAGAUCAAAUCGAGGUUUCACUUCAGCCUUUUACCUAGGAGUACCAUCGGGUGCAUCCAAAAUGGUUUCUUAGCCUAUGCUGCAUUAUGUGCAAACCUUGCACCUAUCUUGCACCGAAACUAACACUGUCUCCAAACAGACCAAAGCAAGAUUUUGUAUGACACACGUCAUCUAGGAGUUCCAUCAUGUGCGUCCAGAUUGAUUUCCAAGCAUUUGGUAUGUUCCAUGCAACCAUGCACCUAUCUUUCGUCAAGAUUAGUACUAUCUCCAAACAGACCGAAGCGAGCAUCCACUUGAGCCCCUUCACCUAGGAGUACCAACAAGUGCGUCCAAAAUGGUUUCUUAGACUAUGGUGCAUUAGGUGCAAACUGUGCCCCUAUUGAUGAGGACAUCAACACCAUCGAUAUAUCCGCACCUACACCAGUUGGUCCUCGUACUCAUGCUCGUGCCCGUCAACUCAACCUUCAAGUAAGUUCAGUUUUAAACUCUUGUCAAUCAUAUUUAGACAAUGGAGGCACGUGCACUUUCGUGUUGCUCAGGAAUAAUGGACAAGAUCAGCAAGGGAAGGUUCAACUGCAUUCGGAAUUUGAGGCAACACCAACUUCAAGGGCUGAUUGCAUAUGGGAAGAGUGAUAACUUAACAAAGGUGAUUGGAGAUCAGGUCCAAGCCUCCACAACAUCCUCUAUCAAGUUACCACGUCGCUUCUAAAGCAAGGAAACAAAGAGUCCAAACCCAACACGUUUUGGGAGUUGGAUUCGGACUGGAAAAUAACUCUAACUUGUAUGGAUCACCACGGCGUCAUAUGGACUCCAACUGGGACGUUCCUAUACUUGUUGAAAAGCUCAUGAAGUCUACUUUUCAAUGGGUCCAACCACAUAUCUAUGCAGCUUAUGAGUCGGGCGCAGUCCUUGUUUUUGUGCCAACACCUUUUUCUGUUUUGGUGCUGCGUCACCCUAUUUUGGACCAAUGGCCCAUGUAUCAAGUUGAGUCCAUUAGGGACGCGUCCUAGGGUUGGAGGACGACUCUAGCACCCCUUUGGUCGUCCUCCCCUCUAUUUAUUUACAUCUAGAGCCGCCAUGAACAACUGGGUUUUGAUUAGAUAAAGUUUAGCCUUUGCUACUUGCUUGUAAAACCAUGCACAUAUCAUGCACCGAAACUAACACUAUUUCUAAACAGACCAAAGUGAGAUUCCAUAUGACACACAUUAUCAAGGAGUUCCAUCGGGUGCAUCCAAAUUGAUUUCCAAGCAUAUGGUAUGUUCCAUGCAAACCGUGCACCUAUCUUUCAUCAAUUUUAGCACAAUCUCCAAACAGACCGAACCGAGCUUCCACUUGAGCCUCUUCAUCUAGGAGUACAAACAGGUGUGUCAAAAGUGGUUUCUUAGACUAUGGUGCAUUACGCACAAACUAUGAACCUAUCUUGCACCGAAAAUAAUAUUGUCUCCAAACAGACCGAAGCGAGAUUCCAUAUGACACACGUCAUCUAGGAGUUCCAUUGGCUGCGUCCAAAUUGAUUUCCUGACAUAUGGUACGUUGCAUGCAAACUGUGCAACUAUCUUGCAUCAAGAUUAGCACUAUAACCGAACAUGCCAAAUUGAGCCUCCACUUGAGCCUCUUCAACUACGAGUACCAUCCGGUGCGUCUAAAAUGGUUUCUUAGCCUAUGGUGCAUUAGGCGUAAACCGUGCACACUGUCUCUAAACGAACCGAAGUAAGAUUCCAUAUGAUACAAAUCAUCAAGCAGUUAUAUCAGGUGUGUCCUAAUUGAUUUCUAAGCAUAUCAUAUGUUCCAUGCAAACCGUGUAUCUAUCUUACAUCAAGACUAGCACUAUCUCCAAAUAGACCAAACCGAGCUUUCACUUUAGCCCCUUGACCUAGGAAUAGCAUCGGGUGCGUCCAAAAUGGUUUCUUAUCCUAUGGUGCAUUAGGUGCAAACCGUGCACCUAUCUUGCACCGAAACUAACACUGUCUCUAAAUGGACCGAAGUGAGAUUCCAUAUGACACAUGUCAUCUAGGAGUUCCAUCUGGUGCGUCCAAAUUGAUUUCUGGGCAUAUGGUAUGUUCCAAGCAAAUCGUGCACCUAUCUUGCAUCAACAUUAGCACUAUCUCUAAACAGACCAAACCGAGCCUCCACUUGAGCCUCUUAACUUAGGAGUACUAACAGGUGUUUCCAAAAUGGUUUCUUAGACUUUGGUGCAAUAGGCGCAAACCGUGCACAUAUCUUGCACCGAAACUAAUAUUGUCUCUAAGCACACCAAAGUAAGAUUCCAUAUGACACACGUCAUCAAGGAGUUCUAUCGGGUGUGUCCAUAAUUUCUAAGCAUAUGGUAUGUUCCAUGCAGACCGUAGAUCUAUCUUGCAUCAAGAUUAGCACUAUCUCCAAAUAGACCAAACCGAGCUUUCACUUGAGCCUUUUACCUAGGAAUACCAUCGGGUGUGUCCAAAAUGGUUUCUUAGCCAAUGCUGCAUUAUGUGCAAACCUUGCACCUUUCCUGCACCGAAAGUAACAUGUCUCCAAACAGACCGAAGCAAGAUUUCGUAUGACACACGUCAUCUAGGUGUUUCAUCAUGUGCUUCCAGAUUGUUUUCCAAGCAUUUGGUAUGUUCCAUGCAAACCGUGCACCUAUCUUGCAUCAAGAUUAGCACUGUCUCCAAAUAGACCGAACCGAGCAACCACUUGAGCCCCUUCACCUAGGAGUACCAACAAGUGCGUCCAAAAUGGUUUUGUAGACUAUGGUGCAUUAGGUGCAAACUGUGCACCUAUUUUGCACCAAAACUAACGUGUUACCAAUUGGAACGAAGCGAGAUUCCAUGUGACACACGUCCUCAAGGAGUUCCAUCGGGUGCAUCGAAAUUGAUUUCCAAGCAUAUGGUAUGUUCUAUGCAAACCAUGCACCUACCUUGCUUAAGGAUUAGCACUAUCUCCAUAGUGACCAAACCAAGCUUCCAUUUGAGCCUCUUCACCCAGGAGUACCAAAUAGUGCGUCCAAAAAGGUUUCUAGACUAUGGUGCAUUAAGCACUACCUGUGCACCUAUCUUGCACUAAAACUUACAAUGUCUACAAACGAACCGAAGCAAGAUUCCAAUAUGACACACGUCAUCUAGGAUUUCCAUUGGGUGCGUCCAAAUUGAUUUCUAAGCAUAGGUUAUGUUACAUGCAAAUCAUGCACCUAUCUUGCAUCAAGAUUAGCACUAUCUCUAGACAGAUCGAACCGAGCCUCCACUUGAGCCUCUUCACCUAGGAGUACCAACAAGUGCUUCCAAAAUGGUUUCUUAGACUUUGGUGCAUUAGGCGCAAACCGUGCACAUAUCUUGCACCGAAACUAAUACUGUCUCUAAGCACACCAAAGCGAGAUUCCAUAUGACACACGUCAUGAAGGAGUUCUAUUGGGUGUGUCCAAAUUAAUUUCUAAGCAUAUGGUACGUUCUAUGUAGACCGUGCAUCUAUCUUGCAUCAAGAUUAGCACUAUCUCCAAAUAGACCAAACUGAGCUUUCACUUGAGCCUUUUACCUAGGAGUACCAUCGGGUUCAUCCAAAAUGGUUUCCUAGCCUAUGCUGCAUGUGCAAACCUUGCACCUAUCCUGCACCAAAACUAACACUGUCUCCAAACAGACCGAAGCAAGAUUUCGUAUGACACACGUCAUCUAGGAGUUCCAUCAUGUGCUUCCAGAUUGUUUUCCAAGCAUUUGGUAUGUUUCAUGCAAACGCGUGCACCUAUCUUUCGUCAAGAUUAGUACUAUCUCCAAACAGACCGAAGCGAGCAUCCACUUGAGCCCCUUCACCUAGGAGUACCAACAAGUGCGUCCAAAAUGGUUUCUUAGACUAUGGUGCAUUAGGUGCAAACUGUGCCCCUAUUGAUGAGGACAUCAACACCAUCGAUAUAUCCGCACCUACACCAGUUGGUCCUCGUACUCAUGCUCGUGCCCGUCAACUCAACCUUCAAGUAAGUUCAGUUUUAAACUCUUGUCAAUCAUAUUUAGACAAUGGAGGCACGUGCACUUUCGUGUUGCUCAGGAAUAAUGGACAAGAUCAGCAAGGGAAGGUUCAACUGCAUUCGGAAUUUGAGGCAACACCAACUUCAAGGGCUGAUUGCAUAUGGGAAGAGUGAUAACUUAACAAAGGUGAUUGGAGAUCAGGUCCAAGCCUCCACAACAUCCUCUAUCAAGUUACCACGUCGCUUCUAAAGCAAGGAAACAAAGAGUCCAAACCCAACACGUCUUGGGAGUUGGAUUCGGACUGGAAAAUAACUCUAACUUGUAUGGAUCACCACGGCGUCAUAUGGACUCCAACUGGGACGUUCCUAUACUUGUUGAAAAGCUCAUGAAGUCUACUUUUCAAUGGGUCCAACCACAUAUCUAUGCAGCUUAUGAGUCGGGCGCAGUCCUUGUUUUUGUGCCAACACCUUUUUCUGUUUUGGUGCUGCGUCACCCUAUUUUGGACCAAUGGCCCAUGUAUCAAGUUGAGUCCAUUAGGGACGCGUCCUAGGGUUGGAGGACGACUCUAGCACCCCUUUGGUCGUCCUCCCCUCUAUUUAUUUACAUCUAGAGCCGCCAUGAACAACUGGGUUUUGAUUAGAUAAAGUUUAGCCUUUGCUACUUGCUUGUAAAACCAUGCACAUAUCAUGCACCGAAACUAACACUAUUUCUAAACAGACCAAAGUGAGAUUCCAUAUGACACACAUUAUCAAGGAGUUCCAUCGGGUGCAUCCAAAUUGAUUUCCAAGCAUAUGGUAUGUUCCAUGCAAACCGUGCACCUAUCUUUCAUCAAUUUUAGCACAAUCUCCAAACAGACCGAACCGAGCUUCCACUUGAGCCUCUUCAUCUAGGAGUACAAACAGGUGUGUCAAAAGUGGUUUCUUAGACUAUGGUGCAUUACGCACAAACUAUGAACCUAUCUUGCACCGAAAAUAAUAUUGUCUCCAAACAGACCGAAGCGAGAUUCCAUAUGACACACGUCAUCUAGGAGUUCCAUUGGCUGCGUCCAAAUUGAUUUCCUGACAUAUGGUACGUUGCAUGCAAACUGUGCAACUAUCUUGCAUCAAGAUUAGCACUAUAACCGAACAUGCCAAAUUGAGCCUCCACUUGAGCCUCUUCAACUACGAGUACCAUCCGGUGCGUCUAAAAUGGUUUCUUAGCCUAUGGUGCAUUAGGCGUAAACCGUGCACACUGUCUCUAAACGAACCGAAGUAAGAUUCCAUAUGAUACAAAUCAUCAAGCAGUUAUAUCAGGUGUGUCCUAAUUGAUUUCUAAGCAUAUCAUAUGUUCCAUGCAAACCGUGUAUCUAUCUUACAUCAAGACUAGCACUAUCUCCAAAUAGACCAAACCGAGCUUUCACUUUAGCCCCUUGACCUAGGAAUAGCAUCGGGUGCGUCCAAAAUGGUUUCUUAUCCUAUGGUGCAUUAGGUGCAAACCGUGCACCUAUCUUGCACCGAAACUAACACUGUCUCUAAAUGGACCGAAGUGAGAUUCCAUAUGACACAUGUCAUCUAGGAGUUCCAUCUGGUGCGUCCAAAUUGAUUUCUGGGCAUAUGGUAUGUUCCAAGCAAAUCGUGCACCUAUCUUGCAUCAACAUUAGCACUAUCUCUAAACAGACCAAACCGAGCCUCCACUUGAGCCUCUUAACUUAGGAGUACUAACAGGUGUUUCCAAAAUGGUUUCUUAGACUUUGGUGCAAUAGGCGCAAACCGUGCACAUAUCUUGCACCGAAACUAAUAUUGUCUCUAAGCACACCAAAGUAAGAUUCCAUAUGACACACGUCAUCAAGGAGUUCUAUCGGGUGUGUCCAUAAUUUCUAAGCAUAUGGUAUGUUCCAUGCAGACCGUAGAUCUAUCUUGCAUCAAGAUUAGCACUAUCUCCAAAUAGACCAAACCGAGCUUUCACUUGAGCCUUUUACCUAGGAAUACCAUCGGGUGUGUCCAAAAUGGUUUCUUAGCCAAUGCUGCAUUAUGUGCAAACCUUGCACCUUUCCUGCACCGAAAGUAACAUGUCUCCAAACAGACCGAAGCAAGAUUUCGUAUGACACACGUCAUCUAGGUGUUUCAUCAUGUGCUUCCAGAUUGUUUUCCAAGCAUUUGGUAUGUUCCAUGCAAACCGUGCACCUAUCUUGCAUCAAGAUUAGCACUGUCUCCAAAUAGACCGAACCGAGCAACCACUUGAGCCCCUUCACCUAGGAGUACCAACAAGUGCGUCCAAAAUGGUUUUGUAGACUAUGGUGCAUUAGGUGCAAACUGUGCACCUAUUUUGCACCAAAACUAACGUGUUACCAAUUGGAACGAAGCGAGAUUCCAUGUGACACACGUCCUCAAGGAGUUCCAUCGGGUGCAUCGAAAUUGAUUUCCAAGCAUAUGGUAUGUUCUAUGCAAACCAUGCACCUACCUUGCUUAAGGAUUAGCACUAUCUCCAUAGUGACCAAACCAAGCUUCCAUUUGAGCCUCUUCACCCAGGAGUACCAAAUAGUGCGUCCAAAAAGGUUUCUAGACUAUGGUGCAUUAAGCACUACCUGUGCACCUAUCUUGCACUAAAACUUACAAUGUCUACAAACGAACCGAAGCAAGAUUCCAAUAUGACACACGUCAUCUAGGAUUUCCAUUGGGUGCGUCCAAAUUGAUUUCUAAGCAUAGGUUAUGUUACAUGCAAAUCAUGCACCUAUCUUGCAUCAAGAUUAGCACUAUCUCUAGACAGAUCGAACCGAGCCUCCACUUGAGCCUCUUCACCUAGGAGUACCAACAAGUGCUUCCAAAAUGGUUUCUUAGACUUUGGUGCAUUAGGCGCAAACCGUGCACAUAUCUUGCACCGAAACUAAUACUGUCUCUAAGCACACCAAAGCGAGAUUCCAUAUGACACACGUCAUGAAGGAGUUCUAUUGGGUGUGUCCAAAUUAAUUUCUAAGCAUAUGGUACGUUCUAUGUAGACCGUGCAUCUAUCUUGCAUCAAGAUUAGCACUAUCUCCAAAUAGACCAAACUGAGCUUUCACUUGAGCCUUUUACCUAGGAGUACCAUCGGGUUCAUCCAAAAUGGUUUCCUAGCCUAUGCUGCAUGUGCAAACCUUGCACCUAUCCUGCACCAAAACUAACACUGUCUCCAAACAGACCGAAGCAAGAUUUCGUAUGACACACGUCAUCUAGGAGUUCCAUCAUGUGCUUCCAGAUUGUUUUCCAAGCAUUUGGUAUGUUUCAUGCAAACCGUGCACCUAUCUUGCAUCAAGAUUAACACUAUCUCCAAACAGACCGAACCGAGCACCUAUAUUGCACUAAAACUUACAAUGUUUACAAACGAACCGAAGCAAGAUUCCAUAUGACACACGUCAUCUAGGAGUUCCAUUGGGUGCACACAAAUUGAUUUCUAAGCAUAUGUUAUGUUCCUUGCAAAUCAUGCACCUAUCUUGCAUCAAGAUUUGCACUGAGCCUCUUCACCGAAGUACCAACAGGUGCUUCCAAAAUGGUUUCUUGGACUAUGGUGCAUUAGGCGCAAACCAUGCACAUAUCUUGCACCAAAACUAACACUAUUUCUAAACAAACACAAGUGAGAUUCCGUAUGACACACGUCAUCAAGGAGUUCCAUCGGGUGCAUCCAAAUUGAUUUCCAAGCAUAUGGUAUGUUCCAUGCAAACCAUGCACCUAUCUUGCAUCAAGAUUAGCAAUAUCUCCAAACAGACCAAACCGAGCUGCCACUUGAGCUUCUUCAUCAAGGAGUACAAACAGGUGCGUCAAAAAUGGUUUCUUAAACUAUGGUGCAUUAGGCACAAACUAUGCACCUAUCUUGCAUCGAAACUAACAGUCUCCAAACUGAACGAAGAGAGAUUCCAUAUGACACAUGUCAUCUAGGAGUUUCAUUGGGUGCGUCCAAAUUGAUUUCUUAACAUAUGGUACGUUCCAUGCAAACUGUACAACUAUCUUGCAUCAAGAUUAGCACUAUAUCUGAAUAGACCAAAUCGAGCCUCCACUUGAGCCACUUCAACUACGAGUACCAUCGGGUGCGUCUAAAAUGGUUUCUUAGCCUAUGGUGCAUUAGGCGUAAACCGUGCACAUAUCUUCUACCAAAACUAACACUAUCUCUAAACGAACCGAAGCAAGAUUCCAAAUGACACACGUCAUCAAGGAGUCCCAUCGGGUGCAUCCAAAUUUAUUUCCAAGCAUAUGGCAUGUUCCAUGCAAAUCGUGCACCUAUCUUCCAUCAAGACUAGCACUAUCUCUAAACAGACCGAACCGAGCCUCCACUUGAGCCUCUUCACCUAGAAGUACCAACAGGUGCUUCCAAAAUAGGUUCUUAGACUUUGGUGCAUUAGGCGCAAACCGUGCACAUAUCUUGCACCGAAACUAAUACUACCUCUAAGCACACCAAAGCGAGAUUCCAUAUGACACACGUCAUCAAGGAGUUCUAUCGGGUGUGUCCAAAUCAAUUUCUAAGCAAAUGGUACGUUCCACGCUGACCGUGCAUCUAUCUUGCAUCAAGAUUAGCACUAUCUCCAAAUAGACCAAACUGAGCUUUCACUUGAGCCUUUUACCUAGGAGUACCAUCGGGUUCAUCCAAAAUGGUUUCCUAGCCUAUGCUGCACUAUGUGCAAACCUUGCACCUAUCUUGCACCGAAACUAACACUGUCUCCAAACAGACCGAAGCAAGAUUUCGUAUGACACACGUCAUCUAGGAGUUCUAUCAUGUGCUUUCAGAUUGUUUUCCAAGCAUUUGGUAUGUUCCAUGCAAACCGUGCACCUAUCUUGCAUCAAGAUUAGCAUUAUCUCUAAACAGACCGAACCGAGCAACCACUUGAGGCCCUUCACCUAGCAGUACCAACAAGUGCGUCCAAAAUGGUUUCUUAGACUAUGGUGCAUUAGGUGCAAACUGUGCACCUAUUUUGCACCGAAACUAACAAUGUCUCCAAAUGUACCGAAGCGAGAUUCCAUAUGACACACGUCAUCAAGGAGUUCCAUCGGGUGCAUCCAAAUUGAUUUCCAAGCAUACGGUAUGUUCCAUGCAAACCAUCCACCUACCUUAAGUAAGGAUUAACACUAUCUUCAAACUGACCAAACCAAGCUUCCACUUGAGCCUCUUCACAGAGGAGUACCAAAUAGUGCGUCCAAAAUGGUUUCUUAGCCUAUGGUGCAUUAGGCGCAAACUGUGCACCUAUCUUGAACUAAAACUUACAAUGUCUACAAACGGACAGAAGCAAGAUUCCAUAUGACACACGUCAUCUAGGAGUUCCAUUGGGUGCGUCCAAAUUGAUUUGUAAGCAUAGGUAUGUUCCUUGCAAAUUAUGCACCUAUCUUGCAUCAAGAUUAGCACUAUCUCCAAACAGAUCAAACCGAGCUUCCACUUGAGGCUCUUCACCGAAGUACCAACAGAUGCUUCCAAAAUGGUUUCUUAGACUAUGGUGCAUUAGGCGCAAACCAUGCACAUAUCUUGCACCGAAACUAACACUGCAUCUGAAUAGACCAAAGCGAGAUUCCAUAUGACACACAUCAUCGAGGAGAUCCAUCGGGUGCAUCCAAAUUGAUUUCCAAGCAUAUGGUAUGUUCCAUGCAAACCGUGCACCUAUCUUGCAUCAAGAUUAGCACUAUCUCCAAACAGACCGAACCGAGCUUCCACUUGAGCCUCUUCAUCUAGGAGUACAAACAGGUGCGUCAAAAAUGGUUUUUUAGACUAUGGUGCAUUAGACACAAACUAUGCACCUAUCUUGCACCGAAACUAACAUUGUCUCCAAACAGAUAGAACCGAGAUUCCAUAUGACACAUGUCAUCUAGGAGUUCCAUUGGGUGCGUCCAAAUUGAUUUCUUAACAUAUCGUACAUUGCAUGCAAACUGUGCAACUAUCUUGCAUCAAGAUUAGCACUAUAUACGAACAGACCAAAUCGAGCCUCCACUUGAGCCUAUUCAACUACGAGUACCAUCGGGUGCGUCUAAAAUGGUUUCUUAGCCUAUGGUGCAUUAGGCGUAAACCGUGCACAUAUAUUCUACCAAAACUAACACUGUCUCUAAACGAACCGAAGCAAGAUUCCAUAUGACACACAUCAUCAAGGAGUUAUCAGGUGCGUCCUAAUUGAUUUAUGAGCAUAUCGUAUGUUCCAUGAAAACCGUGCAUCUAUCUUGCAUCAAGACUAGCACUAUCUCCAAACAGACCAAACCGAGCUUUCACUUUAGCCCCUUGACCUAGGAAUACCAUCGGGUGCGUCCAAAAUGGUUUCUUAUCCUAUGGUGCAUUGGGUGCAAACCGUGCACCUAUCUUGCACCAAAACUAACACUGUCUCCAAACAGACCCAAGCAAGAUUCCAUAUGACACAUGUCAUCUAGGAGUUCCAUCUGGUGCGUCCAAAUUGAUUUUUGAGCAUAUGGUAUGUUCCUUGCAAAUCGUGCACCUAUCUUACAUCAAGAUUAGCACUAUCUCUAAACAGACCGAACCGAGCCUCCACUUGAGCCUCUUCUCCUAGGAGUACUAACGGGUGCUUCCAAAAUGGUUUCUUAGACUUUGGUGCAUUAGGCGCAAACCGUGCACAUUUCUUGCACCGAAACAAUACUGUCUCUAAGCACACCAAAGCGAGAUUCCAUAUGACACACAUCACCAAGGAGUUCUAUCGGGUGUGUCCAUAUUAAUUUCUAAACAUAUGGUAUGUUCCAUGCAGACUGUGCAUCUAUCUUGCAUCAAGAUUAGCACAAUCUCGAAAAAGACCAAACCGAGCUUUCACUUGAGCCUUUUAACUAGGAGUACCAUCGGGUGCGUCCAAAAUGGUUUCUUAGCCUAUGCUGCAUUAUGUGCAAUCCUUGCACCUAUCUUGCACCGAAACUAACACUAUCUCCAAACAGACCGAAGCAAGAUUUCGUAUGACACACGUCAUCUAGGAGGUCCAUCAUGUGCGUCCAGAUUGAUUUCCAAGCAUUUGGUAUGUUCCAUGCAAAUUGUGCACCUAUCUUGCAUUAAGAUUAGCACUAUCUCCAAACAGACUGAACCGAGCAUCCAGUAGGAGUACCAACAAGUGCAUCCAAAAUGGUUUCUUAGACUAUGGUGCAUUAGGUGCAAACUGUGCACCUAUCUUGCACUGAAACUAACAAUAUCUCCAAAUGGACCGAAGCGAGAUUCCAUAUGACACACGUCAUCAAGGAGUUCCAUCGGGUGCAUCCAAAUUGAUUUCCAUGCAUAUGGUAUGUUUCAUGCAAACCGUGCACCUAUCUUGCAUCAAGAUUAGCACUAUCUACAAACAGACCGAACUGAGCUUCCACUUGAGCCUCUUCAUCUAGGAGUACAAACCGGUGCGUCAAAAAUGGUUUCUUCGACUAUGGUGCAUCAGGCACAAACUAUGCACCAAUCUUGCACCGAAACUAACAAUGUUUCUAAACACACCAAAGCAAGAUUCCAUAUGACACACGUCAUCAAGGAGUUCCAUCGGGUGCAUCCAAAUUGAUUUCCAAGCAUAUGGUAUGUUCCAUGCAAACCGUGCACCUAUCUUGCAUCAAAAUUAGAACUAUCUCCAAACAGACCGAACCGAGCUUCCACUUGAGCCUCUUCAUCUAAGAGUACAAACAUGUGUGUCAAAAAUGGUUUCUUAGACUAUGGUGCAUUAGGCACAAACUAUGCACCUAUCUUGCACCGAAACUAACAUUGUCUACAAACAGACCGAACCGAGAUUCCAUAUGACACAUGUCAUCUAGGAGUUCCAUUGGGUGUGUCCAAAUUGAUUUCUUAACAUAUGGUACGUUGCAUGCAAACUGUGCAACUAUCUUGCAUCAAGAUUAGCACUAUAUCCGAACAGACCAAAUCGAGCCUCCACUUGAGCCUCUUCAACUACGAGUACCAUCGUGUGCGUCUAAAAUGGUUUCUUGGUCUAUGGUGCAUUAGGCGUAAACCGUGCACAUAUCUUCUACCAAAACUAACACUGUCUCUAAACGAACCGAAGCAAGAUUCCAUAUGAUACACAUCAUCAAGGAGUUAUAUCAGGUGCGUCCUAAUUGAUUUUUGAGCAUAUCAUAUGUUUCAUGCAAACCGUGCAUCUAUCUUGCAUCAAGAUUAGCACUAUCUCUAAACAGACUGAACCGAGCCUCCACUUGAGCCUCUUCACCUAGGAGUACCAACACGUGCUUCCAAAAUGGUUUCUUAUACUUUGGUGCAUUAGGCGCAAACUAUGCUCAUAUCUUGCACCAAAACUAAUACUGUCUCUAAGCACACCAAAGCGAGAUUCCAUAUGACACACGUCAUCAAGGAGUUCUAUCGGGUGUGUCCAAAUUAAUUUCUAAGCAAAUGGUACGUUCCAUGCAGACCGUGCAUCUAUCUUGCAUCAAGAUUAGCACUUAGAUCAAACUGAGCUUUCACUGGAGCCUUUUACCUAGAAGUAGGGUGCAUCCAAAAUGGUUUGUUAGCCUAUGCUGCAUUAUGUGCAAAACCUUGCACCUAUCUUGCACCGAAACUAACACUGUCUCCAAACAGACCAAAGCAAGAUUUUGUAUGACACACGUCAUCUAGGGUUCCAUCAUUUGCGUCCAGAUUGAUUUCCAAGCAUUUGGUAUGUUCCAUGCAAACCGUGCACCUAUCUUGCAUCAAGAUUAGCACUAUCUCCAAACAGACCUGUCGGUGUUUUCCCCCGGGGGGUCACACCAACGAGUAAAUUUGUAUGCGUACUCCCUUUUCCAGAUGGUGAUGCAAAAAGACACAAAGAUUUAUCCUAGUUUGGGCAAGAGAAGGCCCUACGUCCAGCGGGGGGGAGAGUUUGUAUUAUUUUGCACCUAAGUGCUUGUACAGGGGUGAAUACAAGCGUGGCAUGGAUGGAGUAUGAGUGAAUUCGCUCUACUGCGUAUGGCUUGUGUGUUCGGUGAUGUUGUAUCCCGUCCCCUGUAUCCGCUCCCGGGCCUCCCCUUUUAUAGUUCCAAGGAGAGACCUAGGGUACAUGUAUAGGCGCCAGAGCAGGGGUCGAUAGAGGUAUGGCGCGCUGACCUACUCGAGGCCUCCGUACCGGCGUGGUUUCGAGCCGUCUUGUCCCGGUAGCUUGAUGAUGAUUACGCGUGCCCCGGUAUCCCGCUCUGCGCGCCGUCCUGGGCCUGUUUAUCUGUUGCAUGCUUGUACGUCGCGGCAGCAUCUGCGUAGGAGUGGUUGAGGCGCUGUCACUCGACGCUCGACCCUUCCUUGGGAAGGAAACAUGUCUACUCGAGGGUCAGGUACCGUAUAACGCCUGGCUAGCGAGAGAGCUAACCUUGGGCGUCUCGAGGGGGGUUUUGAUUAGACAUCUUGACCCAUUCCCUGCAACCUGUCGCGCUCUAGCUUAUUUGGUGGGGAAGGCUGCAAAAAGAAUGACGAGACGGAUGCCUGUUCCCUAUCACGCUUCCCGUGACUGGCGGGUUAGGUGAGAACGCGACAGGCGCAUUAAAUGCCCUGGUUCCCGUGCCUGCGUCAGGCGGCGGACGGCGUCCUUGCGCUCGAUGCCUUCUGAUUCGCUCGAGCCUGUUUCCGUGUUCGACGGUAGAUGGUGCUCGAGCCCUGAUCGAUUCGCAGGACGCUCUUUCCGUGUUCGAGACUAUGACCGUCGAGGACCGUACGCGUGGCUAGGCAGAGCGUCGAGUCGGAGGCCUCGACUUGCGUAUGGGCACUCUCGUUAUGCACAUCAGUUGGGGUACCCCUUACUGAUAUCCUCGAUAAGACCGAACCGAGCAUCCACUUGAGCCCCUUCACCUAGGAGUACCAACAAUUGCGUCCAAAAUGGUUUCUUAGACUAUGGUGCAUUAGGUACAAACUAUGCACCUAUCUUGCACCGAAACUAGCAAUGUCUCCAAAUGGACCGAAGCGAGAUUCCAUAUGACACACGUCAUCAAGGAGUUCCAUCAGGUGCAUCCAAAUUGAUUUCCACGCAUAUGGUUUGUUCCAUGCAAACCAUGCAUCUACCUUGCAUAAGGAUUAGCACUAUCUCCAAACUGACCGAACCAAGUUUCCACUUGAGCCACUUCACCUAGGAGUACCAAAUAGUGCGUCCAAAAUGGUUUCUUAGACUAUGGUGCAUUAGGCGCAAACUGUGCACCUAUCAUGCACUAAAACUUACAAUGUCUACAAACGGACAGAAGCAAGAUUCCAUAUGACACACGUCAGCUAGGAGUUCCAUUGGGUGCGUCCAAAUUGAUUUCUAAGCAAAUGGUAUGUUCCUUGCACAUCAUGCACCUAUCUUGCAUCAAUAUUAGCGCUAUCUCCAAAUAGAUCAAACCGAGCUUCCACUUGAGUCUCUUCACCGAAGUACCUAUAGGUGCUUCCAAAAUGGUUUCUUAGACUAUGGUGCAUUAGGCGCAAACCCUGCACAUAUCUUGCACCAAAACUAACACUGUUUCUAAACAGACCAAAGCGAGAUUCCAUAUGACACAUGUCAUGAAGGAGUUCCAUCGGGUGCAUCCAAAUUGAUUUCCAAAGAUAUGGUAUGUUCCAUGCAAACCGUGCAACUAUCUUGCAUCAAGAUUAGCACUAUCUCCAAACAGACCGAAUCGAGCAUCCACUUCAGCCCCUUCACCUAGGAGUACCAACAAGUGUGUCCAAAAUGGUUUCUUAGACUAAGGUGCAUUAGGUGCAAACUAUGCACCUAUCUUGCACCGAAACUAACAAUGUCUCUAAAUGGACCGAAGCGAGAUUCCAAAUGACACACGUCAUCAUGGAGUUCCAUUGGGUGCAUCCAAAUUGAUUUCCAAGCAUAUGGUAUGUUCCAUGCAAACCAUGCUCCUACCUUGCAUAAGGUUUAGCACUAUCUCCAAACUGACCGAACCAAGCCUCCAUUUGAGCCUCUUCACCCAGGAGUACCAAAUAGUGCGUCCAAAAUGGUUUCUUAGACUAUGGUGCAUUAGGCGCAAAAUGUGCACCUAUCUUGCACUAAAACUUACAUUGUCUACAAACAGACCGAAGCAAGAUUCCAUAUGACACACGUCAUCUAGGAGUUCCAUUGGGUGCGUCCAAACUGAUUUCUAAGCAUAUGGUAUGUUCCUUGCAAAUUAUGCACCUAUCUUGCAUCAAGAUUAGCACUAUCUCCAAAUAGAUCAAACCGAGCUUCCACUUGAGCCUCUUCACUGAAGUACCAAUAGGUGCUUCCAAAAUGGUUUCUUAGACUAUGGUGCAUUAGGCGCAAACCAUGCACAUAUCUUGCACCGAAACUAACACUAUUUCUAAACAGACCAAAGCGAGAUUCCAUAUGACACACGUCAUCAAGGAGUUCCAUCGGGUGCAUCCAAAUUGAUUUCCAAGCAUAUGGUAUGUUCCAUGCAAACCAUGCACCUAUCUUGCAUCAAGAUUAGCACUAUCUCCAAACAGAUCGAACCGAGCAUCCACUUGAGCCCCUUCACCUAGGAGUACCAACAAGUGUGUCCAAAAUGGUUUCUUAGACAAAGGUGCAUUAGGUGCAAACUGUGCACCUAUCUUGCACCGAAACUAACAAUGUCUCUAAAUGGACCGAAGCGAGAUUCCAAAUGACACACAUCAUUAAGGAGUUCCAUUGGGUGCAUCUAAAUCGAUUUCCAAGCAUAUGGAAUGUUCCGUGCAAACCAUGCACCUACCUUGCAUAAGGAUUAGCACUAUCUCCAAACUGACCGAACCAAGCCUCCACUUGAGCCUCUUCACUCAGGAGUACCAAAUAGUGCGUCCAAAAUGGUUUCUUAGACUAUGGUGCAUUAGGCGCAAACUGUGCACCUAUCUUGCAUUAAAACUUACAAUGUCUACAAACGGACCGAAGCAAGAUUCCAUAUGACACACGUCAUCUAGGAGUUCCAUUGGGUGUAUCCAAACUAAUUUUUAAGCAUAUGGUAUGUUCCAUGCAAACCGUGCACCUAUCUUGCAUCAAGAUUAGCACUAUCUCCAAACAGACCGAACCGAGCAUCCACUUGAGCCCCUUCACAUAUGAGUACCAACAAGGGCGUCCAAAAUGGUUUCUGAGACUAUGGUGCAUUAGGUGCAAACUGUGCACCUAUCUUGCACCAAAACUAACAAUGUCUCCAAAUGGACCGAAGCGAGAUUCCAAAUGACACACAUCAUCAAGGAGUUCCCUUGGGUGCAUGCAAAUUGAUUUCUAAGCAUAUGGUAUGUUUCAUGCAAAUCAUGCACCUACCUUGAAUAAGGAUUAGCACUAUCUCCAAUCUGACCAAACCGAGCUUCCACAUGAGCCUAUUCACCCAGGACUACCAAAUAGUGCGUCCAAAAUGGUUUCUUAGACUAUGGUGCAUUAGGCGCAUACUGUGCACCAAUCUUGCACUAAAACUUACAAUGUCUACAAACGGACCGAAGCAACAUUCCAUAUGACACACGUCAUCUAGGAGUUCCAUUGGGUGCGUCCAAACUGAUUUCUAAGCAUAUGGUAUGUUCCAUGCAAACCGUGCACCUAUCUUGCAUCAAGAUUAGCACUAUCUCCAAACAGGCCGAACCGAGCUUCCACUUGGGCCUCUUCAUCUAGGAGUACAAACAAAUUUGUCAAAAAUGGUUUCUUAGACUAUGGUGCAUUAGGCACAAUCUAUGCACCUAUCUUGCACCGAAACUAACAUUGUCUCUAAACAGACCGAAGCGAGAUUGCAUAUGACACACGUCAUCUAGCAGUUUCAUUGGGUGCGUCCAAAUUGAUUUCUUAACAUAUGGUACGUUGCAGGCAAACUGUGCAACUAUCUUGCAUGAAGAUUAGCACUAUAUCCGAACAUACUAAAUCGACCCUCCACUUGAGCCUCUUCAACUACGAGUACCAUCGGGUGCGUCUAAAAUGGUUUCUUAGCCUAUGGUGCAUUAGGCGUAAACCGUGAACAUAUCUUCUACCAAAACUAACACUAUCUCUAAACGAACCGAAGCAAGAUUCCAUAUGACACAAAUCAUUAAGGAGUUAUACCAGGUGCGUCCUAAUUGAUUUCUAAGCAUAUCGUAUGUUCCAUGCAAACUGUGCAUCUAUCUUGCAUCAAGAUUAGCACUACCUCCAAACAGAUCGAACCGAGCAUCCACUUGAGCCCCUUCACCUAGGAGUACCAACAAGUGUGUCCAAAAUGGUUUCUUAGACUAAGGUGCAUUAGGUGCAAAUUGUGAACCUAUCUUGCACCAAAACUAACAAUGUCUCCAAAUGGACCGAAGCAAGAUUACAAAUGACACACGUCAUCAAGGAGUUCCAUUGGGUGCAUCCAAAUUGAUUUCCAAGCAUAUGGUAUGUUCCAUGCAAACCAUGCACCUAUCUUGCAUAAGGAUUAGCACUAUCUCCAAACUGACCGAACCAAGUUUCCACUUGAGCCACUUCACCUAGGAGUACCAAAUAGUGCGUCCAAAAUGGUUUCUUAGACUUUGGUGCAUUAGGCGCAAACUGUGCACCUAUCAUGCACUAAAACUUACAAUGUCUACAAACGGACAGAAGCAAGAUUCCAUAUGACACACGUCAGCUAGGAGUUCCAUUGGGUGCGUCCAAAUUGAUUUCUAAGCAAAUGGUAUGUUCCUUGCACAUCAUGCACCUAUCUUGCAUCAAUAUUAGCGCUAUCUCCAAAUAGAUCAAACCGAGCUUCCACUUGAGUCUCUUCACCGAAGUACCUAUAGGUGCUUCCAAAAUGGUUUCUUAGACUAUGGUGCAUUAGGCGCAAACCCUGCACAUAUCUUGCACCAAAACUAACACUGUUUCUAAACAGACCAAAGCGAGAUUCCAUAUGACACAUGUCAUGAAGGAGUUCCAUCGGGUGCAUCCAAAUUGAUUUCCAAAGAUAUGGUAUGUUCCAUGCAAACCGUGCAACUAUCUUGCAUCAAGAUUAGCACUAUCUCCAAACAGACCGAAUCGAGCAUCCACUUCAGCCCCUUCACCUAGGAGUACCAACAAGUGUGUCCAAAAUGGUUUCUUAGACUAAGGUGCAUUAGGUGCAAACUAUGCACCUAUCUUGCACCGAAACUAACAAUGUCUCUAAAUGGACCGAAGCGAGAUUCCAAAUGACACACGUCAUCAUGGAGUUCCAUUGGGUGCAUCCAAAUUGAUUUCCAAGCAUAUGGUAUGUUCCAUGCAAACCAUGCUCCUACCUUGCAUAAGGUUUAGCACUAUCUCCAAACUGACCGAACCAAGCCUCCAUUUGAGCCUCUUCACCCAGGAGUACCAAAUAGUGCGUCCAAAAUGGUUUCUUAGACUAUGGUGCAUUAGGCGCAAAAUGUGCACCUAUCUUGCACUAAAACUUACAUUGUCUACAAACAGACCGAAGCAAGAUUCCAUAUGACACACGUCAUCUAGGAGUUCCAUUGGGUGCGUCCAAACUGAUUUCUAAGCAUAUGGUAUGUUCCUUGCAAAUUAUGCACCUAUCUUGCAUCAAGAUUAGCACUAUCUCCAAAUAGAUCAAACCGAGCUUCCACUUGAGCCUCUUCACUGAAGUACCAAUAGGUGCUUCCAAAAUGGUUUCUUAGACUAUGGUGCAUUAGGCGCAAACCAUGCACAUAUCUUGCACCGAAACUAACACUAUUUCUAAACAGACCAAAGCGAGAUUCCAUAUGACACACGUCAUCAAGGAGUUCCAUCGGGUGCAUCCAAAUUGAUUUCCAAGCAUAUGGUAUGUUCCAUGCAAACCAUGCACCUAUCUUGCAUCAAGAUUAGCACUAUCUCCAAACAGAUCGAACCGAGCAUCCACUUGAGCCCCUUCACCUAGGAGUACCAACAAGUGUGUCCAAAAUGGUUUCUUAGACAAAGGUGCAUUAGGUGCAAACUGUGCACCUAUCUUGCACCGAAACUAACAAUGUCUCUAAAUGGACCGAAGCGAGAUUCCAAAUGACACACAUCAUUAAGGAGUUCCAUUGGGUGCAUCUAAAUCGAUUUCCAAGCAUAUGGAAUGUUCCGUGCAAACCAUGCACCUACCUUGCAUAAGGAUUAGCACUAUCUCCAAACUGACCGAACCAAGCCUCCACUUGAGCCUCUUCACUCAGGAGUACCAAAUAGUGCGUCCAAAAUGGUUUCUUAGACUAUGGUGCAUUAGGCGCAUACUGUGCACCAAUCUUGCACUAAAACUUACAAUGUCUACAAACGGACCGAAGCAACAUUCCAUAUGACACACGUCAUCUAGGAGUUCCAUUGGGUGCGUCCAAACUGAUUUCUAAGCAUAUGGUAUGUUCCAUGCAAACCGUGCACCUAUCUUGCAUCAAGAUUAGCACUAUCUCCAAACAGGCCGAACCGAGCUUCCACUUGGGCCUCUUCAUCUAGGAGUACAAACAAAUUUGUCAAAAAUGGUUUCUUAGACUAUGGUGCAUUAGGCACAAUCUAUGCACCUAUCUUGCACCGAAACUAACAUUGUCUCUAAACAGACCGAAGCGAGAUUGCAUAUGACACACGUCAUCUAGCAGUUUCAUUGGGUGCGUCCAAAUUGAUUUCUUAACAUAUGGUACGUUGCAGGCAAACUGUGCAACUAUCUUGCAUGAAGAUUAGCACUAUAUCCGAACAUACUAAAUCGACCCUCCACUUGAGCCUCUUCAACUACGAGUACCAUCGGGUGCGUCUAAAAUGGUUUCUUAGCCUAUGGUGCAUUAGGCGUAAACCGUGAACAUAUCUUCUACCAAAACUAACACUAUCUCUAAACGAACCGAAGCAAGAUUCCAUAUGACACAAAUCAUUAAGGAGUUAUACCAGGUGCGUCCUAAUUGAUUUCUAAGCAUAUCGUAUGUUCCAUGCAAACUGUGCAUCUAUCUUGCAUCAAGAUUAGCACUACCUCCAAACAGAUCGAACCGAGCAUCCACUUGAGCCCCUUCACCUAGGAGUACCAACAAGUGUGUCCAAAAUGGUUUCUUAGACUAAGGUGCAUUAGGUGCAAAUUGUGAACCUAUCUUGCACCAAAACUAACAAUGUCUCCAAAUGGACCGAAGCAAGAUUACAAAUGACACACGUCAUCAAGGAGUUCCAUUGGGUGCAUCCAAAUUGAUUUCCAAGCAUAUGGUAUGUUCCAUGCAAACCAUGCACCUAUCUUGCAUAAGGAUUAGCACUAUCUCCAAACUGACCGAACCAAGUUUCCACUUGAGCCACUUCACCUAGGAGUACCAAAUAGUGCGUCCAAAAUGGUUUCUUAGACUAUGGUGCAUUAGGCGCAAACUGUGCACCUAUCAUGCACUAAAACAUACAAUGUCUACAAACGGACAGAAGCAAGAUUCCAUAUGACACACGUCAGCUAGGAGUUCCAUUGGGUGCGUCCAAAUUGAUUUCUAAGCAAAUGGUAUGUUCCUUGCACAUCAUGCACCUAUCUUGCAUCAAUAUUAGCGCUAUCUCCAAAUAGAUCAAACCGAGCUUCCACUUGAGUCUCUUCAUCGAAGUACCUAUAGGUGCUUCCAAAAUGGUUUCUUAGACUAUGGUGCAUUAGGCGCAAACCCUGCACAUAUCUUGCACCAAAACUAACACUGUUUCUAAACAGACCAAAGCGAGAUUCCAUAUGACACAUGUCAUGAAGGAGUUCCAUCGGGUGCAUCCAAAUUGAUUUCCAAAGAUAUGGUAUGUUCCAUGCAAACCGUGCAACUAUCUUGCAUCAAGAUUAGCACUACCUCCAAACAGAUCGAACCGAGCAUCCACUUGAGCCCCUUCACCUAGGAGUACCAACAAGUGUGUCCAAAAUGGUUUCUUAGACUAAGGUGCAUUAGGUGCGUCCAAAUUGAUUUCUAAGCAUAUGGAAUGUUCCUUGCAAAUCAUGCACCUAUCUUGCAUCAAGAUAAGCACUAUCUCCAAAUAGAUCAAACUGAGCUUCCACUUGAGCCUCUUCACCGAAGUACCAACAGGUGCUUCCAAAAUGGUUUCUUAGACUAUGGUGCAUCAGGCGCAAACCAUGCACAUAUCUUACACCGAAACUAACACUAUUUCUAAACAGACCAAAGCGAGAUUCCAUAUGACACACGUCAUCAAGGAGUUCCAUCGGGUGCAUCCAAAUUGAUUUCCAAGCAUAUGGCAUGUUCCAUGCAAACCAUGCACCUAUCUUGCAUCGAAACUAACAUUGUCACCAAACAGACCGAAGCGAGAUUCCAUAUGACACACAUCAUCUAGGAUUUCCAUUGGGUGCGUCCAAAUUGAUUUCUUAACAUAUGGUACGUUGCAUGCAAACAGUGCAACUAUCUUGCAUCAAGAUAGGCCCUAUAUCUGAACAGACGAAAUCGAGCCUCCACUUGACCCUCUUCAACUACGAGUACCAUCAGGUGCGUCUAAAAUGGUUUCUUAGCCUAUGGUGCAUCUGGCGUAAACCGUGCACAUAUCUUCUACCAAAACUAACACUGUCUCUAAACGAUGCGAAGGAAGAUUCCAUAUGACACACUUCAUCAAGGAGUUAUAUCAGGUGUGUCCUAAUUGAUUUCUGAGCAUAUCGUAUGUUCCAUGCAAACCGUGCAUCUAUCUUGCAUCAAGAUUAGCACUAUCUCCAAACAGACCAAACCUUUCACUUGAGCCCCUUGACCUAGGAGUACCGUCGGGUGCAUCCAAAAUGGUUUCUUAUCCUAUGGUGCAUUAGGUGAAAACCGGUUACCUAUCUUGCACCGAAACUAACACUGUCUCUAAACAGACCAAAUUGAGAUUCUAUACGACACAUGUCAUCUAGGAGUUCCAUCUGGUGCGUCCAAAUCGAUUUAUGAGCAUAUGGUAUGUUCCAUGCAAAUCGUGCACCUAUCUUUCAUCAAGAUUAGCACUAUCUCUAAACAGACCAAACCAAGCCUCUACUUGAGCCUCUUCACCUAGGAGUACCAGUAGGUGUUUCCAAAUGGUUUCUUAAACUUUGGUGCAUUAGGCGCAAACCGUGCACAUAUCUUGCACCAAAACUAAUACUGUCUCUAAGCACACUAAAGCGAGAUUCCAUAUGACACAUGUCAUCAAGGAGUUCUAUUGGGUGUGUCCAAAUUAAUUUCUAAGCAUAUAGUACGUUCAAUGCAGACCGUGCAUCUAUCUUGCAUCAACAUUAGCACUAUCUCCAAAUAGACGAAACCGAGCUUUCACUUAAGCCUUUUACCUAGGAGUACCAUCGGGUGCGUCUGAAAUGGUUUCUUAGCCUAUGCUGCAUUAUGUGCAAACCUUACACCAAUCUUGCACCAAAACUAACACUGUCUCCAAACAGACCGAAGCAACAUUUUGUAUGACACACGUCAUCUAGGAGUUCCAUCAUGUGCAUUUAGUUGUUCCAUGCUAACGGUGCACCUAUCUUGCAUCAAGAUUAGCACUGUCUCCAAACAGACCGAACCGAGCAUCCACUUGAGCCCCUUCACCUAGGAGUACCAACAUGUGCGUCCAAAAUGGUUUCUUAGACUACGGUGCAUUAGGUGCAAACUGUGCACCUAUCUUGCAUCAAGAUUAGCACUAUCUUGUCAUAUUCAAAACCGGGUGGUUGCUCAACAUAAACUUCUUCAUUGAUAUAGCCAUUGAGAAAUGCACUCUUUACAUCCAUUUGAUAUAACUUGAUAUUAUGUGGACAAACAUAGGCCAACAAGAUCCUAAUUGCUUCCAAUCUUGCAACCGGGGCAUAUGUUUCACCAAAGUCAAGACCUUCAACUUGAGUAUAGCCUUGUGCUACCAAUCUUGCUUUGUUCCUUACAACUAUCCCAUCUUGAUCUUGCUUGUUGCAGAAGACGCAUCUAGUAUCAAUGGUAUUAUGAUCACUAGGCCUCCCAACUAAUUCCCAUACUUGAUUUCUCUUGAAAUUGUUAAGCUCUUCAUGCAUAGCAUUAACCCAAUCAACAUCUCUCAAUGCUUCAUCAAUCUUCUUUGGCUCAAUGUGAGACACAAAGGAGAAAUGCUCACAAAAUAAUGCUAAUCUUGAUCUAGUUUGCACUCCUCUUUGAAUGUCACUAAUGAUAUGAUCCAAUGGAUGAUCUCUUGCAAUAUUUGUUGGUUGGAGUAUUUGCACUUGAUUGCUUGCACUUGGUUGAUCAUGAGAUGAUGUACUAGCUUGUUGAUCUUGCACUUGUGUACCACUUGUACUAGCUUGAUUUUGAUCAUGAGAACCACUAGCUUGCACAUUAGAGGUAGGAAGCACUUGAUCUUUGUCAUCUUCAACAUCAAUCACCUCUCUAGGCCUUAAAUCACCAAUAUCCAUGUUCUUCAUUGCAUCGGCCAAUUUAGUGCCUCUCACAUCAUCUAUAUUCUCAUCUUCCUCUUGAGAGCCAUUGGUUUCGUCAAACUCAACAUCAUGCACCUCUUCAAGAGUACCACUAGCCAAAUUCCAAACUCUAUAAGCUUUGCUAGUAGUAGAGUAACCAAGCAAGAAGCCUUCAUCACAUUUCUUUUCAAAUUUGCUCAAUCUAGUGCCUUUCUUCAAUAUGUAGCAUUUGCAACCAAAAACCUGAAAGUAUGCAAUGUUGGGCUUUCUACCAUUCAAGAGCUCAUAUGGUGUCUUCUCCAUCAUUGGGUGACAAUAGAGUCGGUUGCUAUUGUAGCAAGCCGUGUUGAUUGCUUCGGCCCAAAAAGAAUGACUCACAUUGUAUUCACUCAACAUUGAUCUUGCCAUGUCAAUCAAGGUUCUAUUCUUUCUCUCUACAAGACCAUUUGAUUGUGGAGUGUACUUGGCCGAGAAUUGAUGCCUAAUGCCAAAUUCAUCACAAAGCUCAUCAACUCUUGUGUUCUUGAAUUCACUUCCAUUGUCACUUCUCACUUUCUUGAUGGUUGUUUCAAACUCAUUGUGUAUUCUCUUGACAAAUGAUUUGAAAGUUGCAAAAGCAUCACUCUUGUCAUUGGAAAUGCUCAAGUCAUUGGAUAUAGCAAUUUUACCAAGCCCUUUGACCUUCGCUUUGCCAUUGUCACCAAAUGUGAUACUAUCAACACCAUUGUCAUCAUUUGGAUUGAUUGAAUUGAACAUUCUUGAAUCACCGGUCAUGUGUUGUGUGCACCCACUAUCAAGUACCCAAUGCCUUCCUCCGGCUUUAUAAUUUACCUACAAAACAAAUCAAUAUUUCUUAGGUACCCAUACUUGUUUGGGUCCUUGGAGGUUAGUAACUAAGCAUUUUGGUACCCAAAUGCCCUUCUUCUUUGGACCCACAAUUGGUGUACCAACAAACUUAGCAUGCACACCAUUCUCACCCUUGGUAAGCACAUAACAAGAAUCAAAUGGAAUGUAAGAUACAUUAGCAUUUUUGUUGUUUUUGUUCACUUUAUUGCAAUUAAGCUCUAGGUGCCUAACUUGCUUGCAUUUGUUGCAAUACCAACCAUUGCUCUUCACAAAGCUAGUCUUGUGAGUUGCAAAGGCCGCCUUACCUUUCUAGGGGGUAUAGCCUAAUCCCUCUUUGUUGAGAGAAAACCUUUGGCUACCCAAACACUUUAGCAAGCGGGCCUCACCACCAUAGGCCUUGCCUAGGGCGUGAGUGAGCUCAUCCACCUCUCUCUUGAGAGUCUCAUUCUCAACCUUUAGUGAGGUAUCACAAGUGACACUAACACUAGAAGUAGAGGUAGAGUUGGUGGUGGUGGAUGAAGACCUACAAGAAGAUUUAGUGGCAACAACAAUAGGUGGGUUGGGUGAUUCUUUAAUUAAGUCACAUGUUGUGCCCACAUCACAUGAUACAACAACCUUUUCCCUGUUCUCUUCUAACAACAAGGAGUGAGCUUUCUCAAGCUUGGUGUGAGCCUUGCCAAGCUUCUCAUGGGCUUCCACUAGCCUCUCAUGAUUAGCAUUGAGCUCAUCAAAGGAUUGCUCAAGAGCUUUUAACUUCUUGGGCAAUUCUUUGCACUUCUUGUUUUUAGAUUGAAUGAGAGAUUCAGCUUGUUCUAACAUGUCCAUGAGUUGUUCAUUAGUGAAUUCAUUUUCAUCAUCACUAUCACUAUGAUGUUCAUGUUCAGUUUCACUUUCAUCAUAUUGUACCUUGUGGCCCUUGGCCAUGAAGCAUGAAGGAGUGUCGAAGAGUGAUGGCUUGUUGAUAGCAAUGCUUGCAAAUGCCUUCUUUUCGGAUGAUUUGUCAUCAUCGCUUGAGUCAUCAUCCGAAGAGGCAUCACUAUCCCAUGUCACAACAUAGGAUCCACCCUUAUUCUUCUUCUUGAAGACCAUCUUCUUCUCUUUCUUUUCUUUCUUCUCCUUCUUGUUCCUCUUGUUAUGCUCAUCAUUGUCACUAUUGUAAGGACAAUCCGCCACAAUAUGAUCGGGGCUCUUGCACUUGUAGCAUAGCCUCACAUAUUCCUUGUUCUUGGAGUUGUCCCUUCUCUUCCUUGUAUGGUAGCCCUUUUCCUUCAUCAUCUUGCCAAACUUGCGGAUAAAGAGUGCUAGUGCUUCAUCAUCACUAUCAUCAUUGGAACACUCCUCAUCACUUGAUUCUUCCUUGUUCUUGCUCUUGGAUGAAGAGCUAGCUUUGAAUGCUACACUCUUCUUCUUCUUAUCAUCAUCAUCCUUCUUCAUGACCUCAUCAUCAUCAUUGUCAUUAUACUGAUCUUUGGUCAUGACAUCUCCAAGUACCUCAUUCGGAGAUACACCUGUCAAUCCACCUCUAAAGAUGAUUGUUCUCAAUGUCUUGAACCUCUUGGGCAAGCACAUCAAGAACUUUUGAAUGAAGUCCUCAUCCUUCACUUUCUCACCAAGGCCCUUGAGGUCAUUGAUAAUGACUUGGAGCCUAUAGAACAUUUUCGGAAUUGACUCAUCAUCCUUCAUAUUGAAGUUUGAUAGCUUGUCCUUGAGCAUGUACAACUUGGCACUUUUUACCGUUGUAGUGCCCUCAUUUGUUUCUUCUAGCCUUGUCCACACUUCACUUGCCUUCUCAAGAUCUUUGACUUGUUCAAAUACCUUUGAAUCAAUGCCAUUAUAGUUGUGUUGAGAGCCAUUGUAUUGCAUUGCUUGUUUGCUCUCUCAUUGUCGGUGGGGUUAGCGGGGUCAAGGAUCACAAAAUCAUUCUCCAUGACUUCCCACACUCUAUCAUUGAUUGAUCCAAGAUACAUUUUCAUUUUUCUCUUCCAAUAGUCAAAAGAACUUGUGCCAUCAAAGAACGGUGGUUUGUCCCCAACAUGGUUGAACACUAUUUGAGCCAUAAUUUGAGCACUGAGGUUGUUAAGCCUUCACAAAACGGUGACCACGGCUCCGAUACCACUUGAAAGGGCCUAAUAUGGCUAGAGGGGGGUGAAUAGCCUAUUUAAAAAUCUACAAACUCACUAGUGCAAGAGGUUAGUAGAUAACAAGCAUAGCUUUUUGCUCUAGCUCUAAAGGGGUGUUUGCCAGCCACCUAUCCAACAAUUCUAGUUGCUAUGAUCACUAUGCACACAAGAGCUAUGUCACUACUUACACUAGAGAGCUAUCUAAAGUUUCUAUACAAGUAAGUAAGCUACUCUAGUUUGCGGGAAUGUAAGAGAGAUAGUUUGAUCUUUAUACCACCACAUAGAGGGGAUGAACCAAUCAAUAAUAUGAAGUCCAAUCACCGGGAGAAAUCCAAUGAACAAUCACAAUGUAGACACACAAUUUUCUCCCGAGGUUCGCGUGCUUGCUGGCACGCUAGGUCCCUGUUGUCUCGACCAACACUUAGUGGUUCGGCGGCCAAGAGGUGUAGCACGAACGUCGUCCUCACUAGGACACCGCAAGAACUGACCCACAAGUGAGGUAACUCAAUGACACGAGCAAUCCACUAAAGUUACCUUUCGGCUCUCCACAAGGAAGGUACAAGACCCCUCACAAUCACCAGGAGAUGUCCACGAAUAAUCACCAACUCGUGCCAAUGCUCCUCCGCUGCUUCAAGCCGUCUAGGUGGCGGCAACCACCAAGAGUAACAAGAAAAACCACAGCCAAAUCGAUCCCCAAGUGCCACUAGAUGCAAUCACUCAAGCAAAUGCACUUGGAAUCACUCCCAAUCUCACAAAGAUGAAUAAUCUAUGAAGGAGAUGAGAGGGAGGUGUUUGCUUAAGCUCACAAGGAUUAAAGUAUGCUAGAAUGCCAAGAGAGUGAGCCCUAAGCCAGCCAACAACUAUUUAUAAGCUCCUCAAAAUAAAUAGAGCCGUUGGCUCUAUCACUAGGCUAAAAACGGGGUCACCUGACGAACCGCAGGGGCACCGGACGCUCAACCCAUGUGUCCGGUGCUCCAGAAACAGCCACGUGUUGCCCUAUCCACUUUCGCGCGUUGAUCUCUAACGGUCACCUGCAGAGCACCGGACGCACUCAAGUUGGCACCGGACGCGUCCGGUACUCACCGGACUUAAACUCAGGGAGGUCUGCAAACUCGCGGGGUCACCAGACGCUGAGCACGGACCGUUCGGUGCUCACUGGUCUCAUACCUAGAGAGCAUUGCAAAAGCGCAGAACACUGGACUCAAAACACCGGACGCUCAAACAGGGUCUAACCUGCGUCCGGUGCUGGGCGUCUGGUGCCUAACCCUAGUUGAGCUAGGCACUGCCUACACACCGGACGCACAGACACAGCGUCUGGUGCCUCUGAGCCAGCGUCUUCUCUAAUUUUCCCACUGGUGCAAUAGAAAAAUUGGACGUCAUUUUCUCAAAAAAGCGCCGAAUCCCGCCGAGCAAGCUCGGCCAGAGGGGGAGAGGAACCCAUCCUCUCUCUACCCUUCAAACUCCACCUCCUUUUCAAAGUUUGCCAACACCACAAUGUGUAAACCAACAUGUGCACGUGUGUUAGCAUUUUCACAAAUAUUUUCUUCAAAGGAGUUCAGUUAGCUCACUAGGUUCUAUAUGCAUGCACAUGAAUAAUGACACCUAGUGGCACUUGAGAACCGCUUAGCCAAAGAAUUCCCCUCUUUAUAGUAUGGCUAUCUAUCCGAAAUGUGAUCACACCCUCUAUGGUGUCUUGAUCACCAAAACCAAAACCCUAAGCAAUACCUUUGCCUUGAUCUCCAUAGGGUUUUGUUUUUCUCUUUCUUCUUUUCCAAGUAGAGCACUUGAUCAUCUUGUGGUCAUCACCAUCAUCACCAUGAUCAUCUCUUGCUCCAUCACUUGGCAUGUACCAACCUCAUUAAGUCUACACACACUUAGUAUAGAGGUUAGUACUAGGGUUUCAUCAAUUAUCCAAAACCAAACUAGGGCUUUCAACAGUUUGCGCCUAAUGCACCAUAGUCUAAGAAACCAUUUUGGACGCACCUGUUGGUACUCCUAGGUGAAGAGGCUCAAGUGGAAGCUCAGUUCGGUCUUUUUGGAGAUAGUGCUAAUCUUGAUGCAAGAUAGGUGCAUGGUUUGCAUGGAACGUACCAUAUGCUCAAAAAUCAAUUUGGACACACUAGAUGGAAGACCUAGAUGACGUGUGUCAUAUGGAUCUCGCUUUGGUCUGUUUGGAGACAGUGUUGGUUUCGGUGCAAGAUAUGUGCACGAUUUGCACCUAAUGCACCAUAGGCUGAGAAACCAUUUUAGAUGCACCUAAUGGUACUCCUUGGUGAAGAGGCUCAAGUGGAAACUCGAUGUGGUCUAUUUGGAGAUAGUGCUAAUCUUGAUGCAAGAUAGGUGUACAGUUUGCAUGGAAAGUACCAUAUGCUCAGAAAUAAAUUUGGACGCACCUGAAGGAACUCGUAGAUGACGUGUGUCAUAUGGAAUCUCGCUUUGGUCCGUUUGAAGAUAGUGUUAGUUUUGGUGCAAGAUAGGUGCACAGUUUGCGCAUAAUGCACCAUAGUCUAAGAAACAAUUUUGGAAAAUCUGUUGGUACUCAAAGGUGAAGAGGCUCAAGUAGAAGCUUGGUCCGGUCUGUUUGGAGAUAGUGCUAAUCUUGAUGUAAGAUAGGUGCAUGGUUUGCAUGGAACAUACCAUAUGCUCAGAAAUCAAUUUGGACGCACUCGAUGGAACUCCUAGAUGAUGUGUGUCAUAUGGUAUCUCACUUUGGUUUGUUUGGAGACAGUGUUAGUUUCGCUGCAAGAUAGGUGCACAGUUUGCUCUUAAUGCACCGAAGUCUAAGAAACCAUUUUGGACGCAUCUAUUGGUAUUUCUAGGUGAAGACGCUAAAGUGGAAGCUCGGUUUAGUCUAUUUUGAGAUUGUGCUAAUCUUAAUGCAAGAUAGGUGCAUAGUUUGCACGGGACAUACCAUAUUCCCAGAAAUCAAUUUGGACACACCCGAUGGAACUUAGAUGACGUUUGUCAUAUGGAGUCUCGCUUCGAUCUGUUUGGAGACAGUGUUAGUUUCGGUACAAGAUAGGUGCACAGUUUGUGCCUAAUGCACAAUAGGCUAAGAAACGAUAUUGGACGCACCCGAUUGCACUCAUAGGUAAAGGGGCUUAAGUGAAUGCUCGGUUUGGUCUGUUUGGAGAUAGUGCUAAUCUUGAUGUAAGAUAGGUGCACGGUUUGCAUAGAAUGUACCAUAUGCUUAGAAAUCAGUUUGGAUGCACCCGACAGAACUCUUAAAUGAUGUGUGUCAUAUGGAAUCUCACUUCCGUCCACAUGGAGAUAGUGUUAGUUUCGGUGCAAGAUAGGUGCUCGGUGUGCAUGAAACAUACCAUAUGCUUGAAAAUCAAUUUGGACACACCCGAUGGUACUCCUUGGUGAAGUGGCUCAAGUGAAAGCUCGGUUCAGUCCAUUUGGAGAUAGUGCUACUCUUGAUGCAAAAUAGGUGCACAGUUUACAUGAAACGUACCAUAUGCUUGAAAAUCAAUUUGGACGCACCUGAUGGAAGUCCUAGAUGACGUGUUUCAUAUUUUUUUAGAUAAUGGAUAAAAAUCCGGCUUCAUCUACCGAAGUAGAAUCAGGCCUCUUAUUACACAAACCACGCUCAAGAAAAUCAAAAAAUAACCACGUUCUGACAACCUAAAAAAACAGAAAGACUAAAGUAGAUCAAUUCUUCUAGUUGUAGACCAUCCAUUAGAACCAAAGAAGCGGAGGGCAGCAACUUCGAUAUGUUGACAGACUUGGAUUAAGCUGAUUCUUCAAAUCUUCACACCUUUGUAGCUUUGCCCACUGGCGUAGCCAAUGUGUUCCCCUAAAUAGAACCUGCAAAAAAGUUUUUGGUCUACCUUUGUCAAAUACCACUUCAUUUCUCGUGAGCCAGAUUGACCAACAAAGGGCGGCUGCUGCUAUUAACAUCAAAUUAUUUUGAUUACCACUUCCCACUUUUGACCAAUGAUUAAAUAAAUCAUCAAUAGUAUGGGGAGGUGGAAUGCCAAAAAGUAAAUGAACCCAACGCCACAGGAAUUUUGCAUAGUAACAAUCGAGAAAAAGGUGUUGGAUAGAUUCUGGUAAGUAGCAAAAGCCACACCUUUUAUCUCCCUCCCAAUUUCGCCUAGCUAGGUUAUCUUUAGUUAAGGUUACACCUAGUUUUAGGUACCACAAAAAUAUUUUAAUUUUUGUAAGUAUCUUUACAUGCCAGAUAUCCUAUGACACUCUAACACCAUUAUUAAUUAGAGCGGCAUACAUAGAUUUUACUGAGAAUCUCCCUGAUGAAUUAGUGACCAAGUGAAGGUAUUUGUACCCUCCUGGAGGUUCACCUCUAGUAAAGAAUUAACAAUUCUAUGCCAAUCCCUCAUAUUCCUCCCAACUAUGUUUCUACGGAAAGAGAUAUUUAACGGGACCGAACUGAGCACAUUGGACACAAUAUCCUAUUUCCUUCUUACUAGAUGAAAGAGAUCUGGGAACCUCUCUUUAAGUGGAUGGUUUCCAAGCCAUUUGUCUUCCCAGAAGCGAACCUGCGAACCAUCUCCCACUUUGAAAGACCCUAGACUCAUAAAGGUCUCUUUAACAUUCAUCAAUCCUUUCCAAAAGUGAGAAUCAGACGCCUUUUUAACAUAGGCCCCUAACAGUUUGUUUUUUAAAUGACGUGUUUCAUAUAGAAUCUCGUUUCGGUCCAUUUGGAGACAGUGUUAGUUUUGGUGCAAGAUAGGUGCAUAGUUUGUGCCUAAUGCACCAUAGCCUAAGAAACCAUUUUGGGCGCACCUGUUGGUACUCCUAGAUGAAGAGGCUCAAGUGCAAGCUGGGUUCGGUCUGCUUAGAGAUACUGCUAAUCUUGAUGCAAAAUAGGUGCAUGGUUUGCAUGGAACGUACCAUAUGCUCAGAAAUCAAUUUGGACGCACCUGAUGGAACUCCUAGAUGACGUGUGUCAUAUGCAAUCUCGGUUUGGUCUGUUUGGAGAUAGUGUUAGUUUCGGUGCAAGAUAGGUGCAUAGUUUGUGUCUAAUGCACCAUAGUCUAAGAAACCAUUUUGGACGCACCUGUUGGUCUGAGUUGAAGAGGCUCAAGUGGAAGCUCGGUUCGGUCUAUUUGGUGAUGGUGCUAAUCUUGAUGCAAGAUAGGUGCACGGUUUGCAUGGAACGUACCAUAUGCUCAGAAAUCAAUUUGGACGCACCCGAUGAAACUCCUAGAUGACGUGUUUCAUAUGGAAUCUCGCUUUGGUCCGUCUGGAGAUAGUGUUAGUUUCGGUGCAAGAUAGGUGCACAGUUUGCGUCUAAUGCACCAUAGUCUAAGAAACCAUUUUGGACGCACCUGUUGGUCCGAGGUGAAGAGGCUCAAGUGGAAGCUUGGUUCGGUCUAUUUGGUGAUGGUGCUAAUCUUGAUGCAAGAUAGGUGCACGGUUUGCAUGGAAUGUACCAUAUGCUCAGAAAUCAAUUUGGACGCACCUAAUGGAACUCCUAGAUGAUGUGUGUCAUAUGAAAUCUCGCUUUGGUCUGUUUGGAGACUGUUAGUUUUGGUGCAAGAUAGUUGCACAGUUUGCGCCUAAUGGCUCUCAAAAAAAAGUUUGCGCCUAAUGCACCACAGUCUAAGAAACCUUUUUGGACGCACCUGUUGGUACUCCUAGGUGAAGAGGCUCAAAUGGAAGUCCGGAUGGUCUGUUUAGUGAUUGAUGAGGACAUCAACACCAUCGAUAUAUCCGCACUUACACCAGUUGGAAUAAUGGACAAGAUCAGCAAGGGAAGGUUCAACUGCAUUCGGAAUUUGAGGCAACACCAACUUCAAGGGCUGAUUGCAUAUGGGAAGAGUGAUAACUUAACAAAGGUGAUUGGAGAUCAGGUCCAAGCCUCCACAACAUCCUCUAUCAAGUUACCACGUCGCUUCUAAAGCAAGGAAACAAAGAGUCCAAACCCAACACGUUUUGGGAGUUGGAUUCGGACUGGAAAAUAACUCUAACUUGUAUGGAUCACCACGGCGUCAUAUGGACUCCAACUGGGACGUUCCUAUACUGGUUGGAAAGCUCAUGAAGUCUACUUUCCAAUGGGUCCAACGACAUAUCUAUGCAGCUUAUGAGUCGGGCGCAGUCCUUGUUUUCGUGCCGAUACCUUUUUCUGUUCUGGUGCUGCGUCACCCUAUUUUGGACCAAUGGCCCAUGUAUCAAGUUGAGUCCAUUAGGGACGCGUCCUAGGGUUGGAGGACGACUCUAGCACCCCUUUGGUCAUCCUCCCCUCUAUUUAUUUACAUCUAGAGCCGCCAUGAACAACUGGGUUUUGAUUAGAUAAAGUUUAGCCUUCGCUACUUGCUUGUAAACGCGCGUGCUGAUCCAGCCGCCCGUCUUCUUGUUUUCGAAACCCCACUUCAUUAGAGAUUGAGUUUGAAACCUUCAUUUACAUCUGGUAAUUUAGUACUUGUUCUACUUGUUCUUGCUGGUUCUUCGAUUGCUUGCAGGACGAGUGCCCUAGUGGCCGGGUGUUGCGCUCCACAAGAUCGUGACAGCCAUUGGAGGCGGUGUAUCGGUUGCUAAGGCGCAGCCUUAGAAGGCUGUAGUCGGGCCGUGAACGUCAUCUCCAUUCACUAAUCGAGUUAUCCAGCGCCUCUCAUCGAAAGAUCAGGCGAAAACCCUAGUGGGUUCACAUCAGUUGGUAAUCGGAGCAAGGUUUAUCGGUGAGAGAUUUCCAAUUCUUCGUGUUUGUUUUUCCUAUAGUCCAAAAAAAGACAAAAAAUAUAGCAGAUUUGUUUUCCAUAAUCCUAUAAAUCCUUUGUGCCGUGGCUAGUACUACUUAGUUAGGGCUGGUUGAAUGAGUGUUUGCUUCGGUCGUGUCCAGUGCUGGUUUUAGUUUAGUCCUUUAGAGUUUUGAGUUCUUGUCACCAUCUAGUCACAACUGCGUCCAAUCUAUUGUGGGUUGGAAUUUGAGUAGAUCUUGAUAAUAGGUGCAGCCACUUGUUGGUCUAUUCUGCGUUUCCAUCAACGUGAUCCAAAAGGAAAGAUAGCACUUCAUACUUGUGCUAGAUAUAUUGAAUUUUGAGGUUCAGCCUUACUCUAGUGAGAGGGUGAGAGUGGUGAAGUGAUAUUUUGUACUAUUUUGUUUAUAUAAUCAGGUUUUGAGGUUCCCCAAAAAAAAGAAAAGAGAAAGAAAAAAAAUAAAGAAAAAAAAGAAAGAAAGGAAGAAAAAAAAUCAAAAAAAGGGGAUUGUUGUUCCUUUUGUUUCCAGUAGGGCUGCUCAUUUUGUUUCUAGUGGUGUGCUGUGUUUUCCGUUUGUGUCCAGGCUCGCGUCUCUAGCACAGUCUAGGCUAGGACCAGCACAGUACCACCGUUGAGCGUUUAUUCAACUUGCUUUUUAUAACUAACGUGGUGCUAGUUCGAUCCUUGUUUCAGCCCACCUAUAGCUCCACAUAUUCUACAGCUUGAUAGGUUUUGUUGCUGCGGCACCGAUACACUUCGUCCAUUGCUGUGGAUUUGUUGGUAGCCAAUCCCUCCUGUUGAGCAAGGUAAGAAUUGGUAAGAACUUGUUAGACAGG